AGAACGAACGCUGGCGGCAUGCCUAAUACAUGCAAGUCGAACGAAGGCUUCGGCCUUAGUGGCGCACGGGUGCGUAACGCGUGGGAAUCUGCCCCUUGGUUCGGAAUAACAGUUGGAAACGACUGCUAAUACCGGAUGAUGACGAAAGUCCAAAGAUUUAUCGCCAAGGGAUGAGCCCGCGUAGGAUUAGCUAGUUGGUGAGGUAAAGGCUCACCAAGGCGACGAUCCUUAGCUGGUCUGAGAGGAUGAUCAGCCACACUGGGACUGAGACACGGCCCAGACUCCUACGGGAGGCAGCAGUAGGGAAUAUUGGACAAGUGGGCGAAAGCCUGAU
This 334-nucleotide ribosomal RNA is filed under the name uncultured soil bacterium. Its description in RNAcentral is "bacterial SSU rRNA". It matches the Rfam family "Bacterial small subunit ribosomal RNA", at positions 26 to 387 of the family's 1533-position model. The record is from RNAcentral.